Molecule: ribosomal RNA, 585 nt
Filed under: uncultured bacterium
Lineage: Bacteria
Description: bacterial SSU rRNA
Rfam family: Bacterial small subunit ribosomal RNA
Source: RNAcentral
CCUACGGGAGGCAGCAGUGGGGAAUUUUGGACAAUGGGCGAAAGCCUGAUCCAGCCAUUCCGCGUGCAGGAUGAAGGCCCUCGGGUUGUAAACUGCUUUUGUACAGAACGAAAAGGUUUCUACUAAUACUAGGAGCUCAUGACGGUACUGUAAGAAUAAGCACCGGCUAACUACGUGCCAGCAGCCGCGGUAAUACGUAGGGUGCAAGCGUUAAUCGGAAUUACUGGGCGUAAAGCGUGCGCAGGCGGUUAUAUAAGUCAGAUGUGAAAUCCCCGGGCUCAACCUGGGAACUGCAUUUGAGACUGUAUAGCUAGAGUACGGUAGAGGGGGAUGGAAUUCCGCGUGUAGCAGUGAAAUGCGUAGAUAUGCGGAGGAACACCGAUGGCGAAGGCAAUCCCCUGGACCUGUACUGACGCUCAUGCACGAAAGCGUGGGGAGCAAACAGGAUUAGAUACCCUGGUAGUCCACGCCCUAAACGAUGUCAACUGGUUGUUGGGUCUUAACUGACUCAGUAACGAAGCUAACGCGUGAAGUUGACCGCCUGGGGAGUACGGCCGCAAGGUUGAAACUUAAAGGAAUUGACGG